RNAcentral lists this ribosomal RNA (752 nucleotides) under uncultured bacterium. Its description in RNAcentral is "bacterial SSU rRNA". It matches the Rfam family "Bacterial small subunit ribosomal RNA", at positions 51 to 792 of the family's 1533-position model. The record is from RNAcentral.
ACACAUGCAAGUCGAGGGGCAGCAUGAUUGAAGCUUGCUUCAAUUGAUGGCGACCGGCGCACGGGUGAGCAACGCGUAUCCAACCUUCCGUACACUCAGGGAUAGCCUUUCGAAAGAAAGAUUAAUACCCGAUGGUAUGAUGAGAUUGCAUGAUAGCAUCAUUAAAGAUUUAUCGGUGUACGAUGGGGAUGCGUUCCAUUAGGUAGUAGGCGGGGUAACGGCCCACCUAGCCGACGAUGGAUAGGGGUUCUGAGAGGAAGGUCCCCCACAUUGGAACUGAGACACGGUCCAAACUCCUACGGGAGGCAGCAGUGAGGAAUAUUGGUCAAUGGACGAGAGUCUGAACCAGCCAAGUAGCGUGAAGGAUGAAGGUCCUACGGAUUGUAAACUUCUUUUAUAAGGGAAUAAAACCUCCCACGUGUGGGAGCUUGUAUGUACCUUAUGAAUAAGCAUCGGCUAACUCCGUGCCAGCAGCCGCGGUAAUACGGAGGAUGCGAGCGUUAUCCGGAUUUAUUGGGUUUAAAGGGAGCGCAGACGGGUCGUUAAGUCAGCUGUGAAAGUUUGGGGCUCAACCUUAAAAUUGCAGUUGAUACUGGCGUCCUUGAGUGCGGUUGAGGUGUGCGGAAUUCGUGGUGUAGCGGUGAAAUGCUUAGAUAUCACGAAGAACUCCGAUUGCGAAGGCAGCACACUAAGCCGUAACUGACGUUCAUGCUCGAAAGUGUGGGUAUCAAACAGGAUUAGAUACCCUGGUA